AUGACUCGUUGCAAUAAAGGUUCUGUUAUUGGGAUGACUGGCCCUAAGCGAUACAUCGCAACGCUAGCCCCUGUUCUAGUUGAGUUUGAUAUGAGGAUCAAGAAAGGAGAGCAAGAAGAGGAUGAUCUACAACUAAUUGAUGGUGCAAUAGAGUACGACAAUCUAUGCACAUCUGAAUACCCAUUCACAGAUCGUAUUAAUGGCGAUUGUGGCACGGUUGACAUCACUUUAGCCCUCGUUCGUUGGGCAUUUGAGGCCACAAUAGAUGUUACCGUAUCAAAAGUGCAGAGUAGAUUCGAUUUAUCUCUCAGUUCGUUUGUUUUUAUUAUGGAUGGGUUACAUGAGAUUCAGCUCUUUCGUGGCAAUAUUGGUGAGUCGUGUGGCUUAAGAAGACAUGUGAUCGCUGUAAAGGAGGAUACUUGGAUGCAUUUGAAGUUCAAGGUAGGUCAGAGAAGUUGUAAAAAUGAUGGUGAUCUUGAUUGCCAUUGUUCCUUCAAAGCAAAAAAAACAUGGGUAUAA
This 519-nucleotide ribosomal RNA is filed under the name Triticum aestivum (bread wheat). RNAcentral describes it as "partial small subunit ribosomal RNA". The record is from RNAcentral. Lineage: Eukaryota; Viridiplantae; Streptophyta; Magnoliopsida; Poales; Poaceae.